RNAcentral lists this ribosomal RNA (467 nucleotides) under uncultured bacterium. RNAcentral's name for it is "partial 16S ribosomal RNA". It matches the Rfam family "Bacterial small subunit ribosomal RNA", at positions 28 to 507 of the family's 1533-position model. The record is from RNAcentral.
GAUGAACGCUGGCGGCGUGCUUAACACAUGCAAGUCGAACGGAAAGGCGCAAGCUUGGUUGGUUUCUCGAGUGGCGAACGGGUGAGUAUCACGUGGGGGAUCUCCCCUGCACUUCGGGAUAAGCCUGGGAAACUGGGGCUAAUACCGGAGAGGACCACUUCUAGGAUGUGGUGGUGGAAAGAAUGUUCGGUGUGGGAUGAGCUCGCGGGCUAUCAGCUUGUUGGUGGGAAGAUGGUCUACCAAGGCGUCACCGGGUAGCCGGACCCUGAGAGUGAGCCGCCACCCUGGGACUGAGGUGAGGCCGAGACAGCGACGGGAGGCAGCUGUGGGGAAUAUUGAACGAGGGGCGCAAGGCGGGUGCAGCGAGUCUGCGUGGCGGAUGACGGCCUUCGUGUUGUAAACUCCUUUCGUUAGGGACGAAGCGUUUUGUGACGGUACCUGGAGAGAAAGCACCGGCUAACUACGUG